UACGUAGGGUGCAAGCGUUAAUCGGAAUUACUGGGCGUAAAGGGUGUGUAGGCGGUUGUUUAAGUUUGGUGUGAAAUCUCCCGGCUCAACCGGGAGGGUGCGCCGAAUACUGAAUGACUUGGAGUGCGGGAGAGGAAAGUGGAAUUCCUGGUGUAGCGGUGAAAUGCGUAGAUAUCAGGAGGAACACCGGUGGUGUAGACGGCUUUCUGGACCGUAACUGACGCUGAGACACGGAAGCGUGGGUAGCAAACAGG
Molecule: ribosomal RNA, 254 nt
Filed under: uncultured bacterium
Lineage: Bacteria
Description: partial 16S ribosomal RNA
Rfam family: Bacterial small subunit ribosomal RNA
Source: RNAcentral